UACGGAGGGUGCGAGCGUUGUCCGGAAUCAUUGGGCGUAAAGGGCGCGUAGGUGGCCCGGUCAGUCCGUGGUGAAAGCGCGGGGCUCAACCCCGCGUCGGCCAUGGAUACUGCUGGGCUGGAGCACUGUAGAGGCAGGCAGAAUUCCGGGUGUAGCGGUGGAAUGCGUAGAGAUCCGGAAGAACACCGGUGGCGAAGGCGGCCUGCUGGGCAGUUGCUGACACUGAGGCGCGACAGCGUGGGGAGCAAACAGG
This 253-nucleotide ribosomal RNA is filed under the name uncultured bacterium. RNAcentral describes it as "partial 16S ribosomal RNA". It matches the Rfam family "Bacterial small subunit ribosomal RNA", at positions 524 to 776 of the family's 1533-position model. The record is from RNAcentral.